AUUGAACGCUGGCGGCAGGCCUAACACAUGCAAGUCGAGCGGAUGAAGGGAGCUUGCUCCUGGAUUCAGCGGCGGACGGGUGAGUAAUGCCUAGGAAUCUGCCUGGUAGUGGGGGAUAACGUCCGGAAACGGGCGCUAAUACCGCAUACGUCCUGCGGGAGAAAGUGGGGGAUCUUCGGACCUCACGCUAUCAGAUGAGCCUAGGUCGGAUUAGCUAGUUGGUGGGGUAAAGGCCUACCAAGGCGACGAUCCGUAACUGGUCUGAGAGGAUGAUCAGUCACAAUGGAACUGAGACACGGUCCAGACUCCUACGGGAGGCAGCAGUGGGGAAUAUUGGACAAUGGGCGAAAGCCUGAUCCAGCCAUGCCGCGUGUGUGAAGAAGGUCUUCGGAUUGUAAAGCACUUUAAGUUGGGAGGAAGGGCAGUAAGUUAAUACCUUGCUGUUUUGACGUUACCAACAGAAUAAGCACCGGCUAACUUCGUG
This 484-nucleotide ribosomal RNA is filed under the name uncultured bacterium. Its description in RNAcentral is "partial 16S ribosomal RNA". It matches the Rfam family "Bacterial small subunit ribosomal RNA", at positions 30 to 507 of the family's 1533-position model. The record is from RNAcentral.